GGGAAAGAAAAGCGAAGGUGUUAUUGAUUACGCUGAUCUUAACGUGUAAAUGGUCAGAUCAAAUGACGAAUGGAAAAACAAGAACAUUAUCGUUUCAAUUUAAAGCUAAAUGUUCCACAUCAACGAAGUAUUUUUAUUGUCUGCAAAAGAGGUUUAUGGGAAAGCAAUUGGCAAGAAGGAAAUCAAUGAUACCACAAUUCAAGAUCCUCUUUUAUGUAUGUUUUAAUUUGAGGCUCUUAAGCAAGUUAGAUUAAGUAACCAAGUUGGAUAUUACAUGGCCAGAUUGCUAUGAAUUUUCAUUGGAUUUUGCAAUGUUAUAUAAUUAACUAUUUCUGAAUUGAAGAUUAAAUUCCUAAGAACGCAA
Xenia sp. Carnegie-2017 is the source of this 364-nucleotide long non-coding RNA. RefSeq lists it as uncharacterized. The transcript is spliced from 2 exons. The record is from RefSeq and is a predicted model, not a curated record. NCBI's taxonomy places the organism in Eukaryota, Metazoa, Cnidaria, Anthozoa, Malacalcyonacea, Xeniidae.